RNAcentral lists this ribosomal RNA (468 nucleotides) under uncultured bacterium. Its description in RNAcentral is "partial 16S ribosomal RNA". It matches the Rfam family "Bacterial small subunit ribosomal RNA", at positions 28 to 507 of the family's 1533-position model. The record is from RNAcentral.
GACGAACGCUGGCGGCGUGCUUAACACAUGCAAGUCGAACGGAAAGGCCCUGCUUUUGUGGGGUGCUCGAGGGGCGAACGGGUGAGUAACACGUGAGUAACCUGCCCUUGACUUUGGGAUAACUUCAGGAAACUGGGGCUAAUACCGUAUAGGAGCUCCUGCUGCAGGGUGGGGGGUGGAAAGUUUCGGCGGUUGGGGAUGGACUCGCGGCUUAUCAGCUUGUUGGUGGGGUAGUGGCUUACCAAGGCUUUGACGGGUAGCCGGCAUGGGAGGGUGACCGGCCACAUUGGGACUGCGAUACGGCCCAGACGCCUACGGGAGGCAGCAGUGGGGAAUAUUGCCCAAUGGGCGGAAGCCUGAUGCAGCAGCGCCGCGUGCGGGAUGACGGCCUUCGGGUUGUAAACCGCUUUCGCCUGUGACGAAGCGUGAGUGACGGUAAUGGGUAAAGAAGCACCGGCUAACUACGUG